This 200-nucleotide ribosomal RNA is filed under the name uncultured prokaryote. Its description in RNAcentral is "partial 16S ribosomal RNA". It matches the Rfam family "Bacterial small subunit ribosomal RNA", at positions 1184 to 1382 of the family's 1533-position model. The record is from RNAcentral.
GUCAAGUCAUCAUGGCCCUUACGCCUGGGGCUACACACGUGCUACAAUGGGCGGUACAAAGGGUCGCCAGGCCGCAAGGCCGAGCCAAUCCCAAAAAGCCGCUCUCAGUUCGGAUUGGAGUCUGCAACUCGACUCCAUGAAGUCGGAAUCGCUAGUAAUCGCGGAUCAGCCACGCCGCGGUGAAUACGUUCCCGGGCCUU